GGGCGGCCCAGGGGCGGGCGCGCCGCUGCAUCCCCAUCCUCGUCGUCGCCCGGCACAGCGCGAGCGGGCGAGCGGCGCGGGCGGCCGGAGCGCCGAGGCCCGGCCAUGGCCACCACCAGCACCACGGGCUCCACCCUGCUGCAGCCCCUCAGCAACGCCGUGCAGCUGCCCAUCGACCAGGUCAACUUUGUAGUGUGCCAACUCUUUGCCUUGCUAGCAGCCAUUUGGUUUCGAACUUAUCUACAUUCAAGCAAAACUAGCUCUUUUAUAAGACAUGUAGUUGCUACCCUUUUGGGCCUUUAUCUUGCACUUUUUUGCUUUGGAUGGUAUGCCUUACACUUUCUUGUACAAAGUGGAAUUUCCUACUGUAUCAUGAUCAUCAUAGGAGUGGAGAACAUGCACAAUUACUGCUUUGUGUUUGCUCUGGGAUACCUCACAGUGUGCCAAGUUACUCGAGUCUAUAUCUUUGACUAUGGACAAUAUUCUGCUGAUUUUUCAGGCCCAAUGAUGAUCAUUACUCAGAAGAUCACUAGUUUGGCUUGCGAAAUUCAUGAUGGGAUGUUUCGGAAGGAUGAAGAACUGACUUCCUCACAGAGGGAUUUAGCUGUAAGGCGCAUGCCAAGCUUACUGGAGUAUUUGAGUUACAACUGUAACUUCAUGGGGAUCCUGGCAGGCCCACUUUGCUCUUACAAAGACUACAUUACUUUCAUUGAAGGCAGAUCAUACCAUAUCACACAAUCUGGUGAAAAUGGAAAAGAAGAGACACAGUAUGAAAAAACAGAGCCAUCUCCAAAUACUGCGGUUGUUCAGAAGCUCUUAGUUUGUGGGCUGUCCUUGUUAUUUCACUUGACCAUCUGUACAACAUUACCUGUGGAGUACAACAUUGAUGAGCAUUUUCAAGCUACAGCUUCGUGGCCAACAAAGAUUAUCUAUCUGUAUAUCUCUCUUUUGGCUGCCAGACCCAAAUACUAUUUUGCAUGGACGCUAGCUGAUGCCAUUAAUAAUGCUGCAGGCUUUGGUUUCAGAGGGUAUGACGAAAAUGGAGCAGCUCGCUGGGACUUAAUUUCCAAUUUGAGAAUUCAACAAAUAGAGAUGUCAACAAGUUUCAAGAUGUUUCUUGAUAAUUGGAAUAUUCAGACAGCUCUUUGGCUCAAAAGGGUGUGUUAUGAACGAACCUCCUUCAGUCCAACUAUCCAGACGUUCAUUCUCUCUGCCAUUUGGCACGGGGUAUACCCAGGAUAUUAUCUAACGUUUCUAACAGGGGUGUUAAUGACAUUAGCAGCACGAGCUAAUUUUCUGAAGGAGAGAUAAAAACUGAGUUAAAUAAAGAUGAUCAGAAUGGAUGAGAAAUAACUUUAGACAUUAUUUCGUUGAACCUUCCCAACUGAAAUUAUUUUAUGAUGUUAUAACAUGGAUAGUAACUCAAGUAGCAAUAAGUUACACAGUUGUGCCAUUUGUACUUCUUUCUGUAAAACCAUCACUCACGUUUUACAGCUCCUGGUAUUAUUGCCUGCACAUUCUUGGUAUCUUAGUAUUAUUGUUGUUGCCAGUGAAAAAAACUCAAAGAAGAAAGAAUACACAUGAAAACAUUCAGCUCUCACAAUCCAAAAAGUUUGAUGAAGGAGAAAAUUCUUUGGGACGGAACAGUUUUUCUACAACAAACAAUGUUUGCAAUCAGAAUCAAGAAAUAGCCUCGAGACAUUCAUCACUAAAGCAGUGAUCGGGAAGGCUCCGAGGGCUGUUUUUUUUUUUUUUGAUGUUAACAGAAACCAAUCUUAGCACCUUUUCAAGGGGUUUGAGUUUGUUGGAAAAGCAGUUAACUGGGGGGAAAUGGACAGUUAUAGAUAAGGAAUUUCCUGUACACCAGAUUGGAAAUGGAGUGAAACAAGCCCUCCCAUGCCAUGUCCCCGUGGGCCACGCCUUAUGUAAGAAUAUUUCCAUAUUUCAGUGGGCACUCCCAACCUCAGCACUUGUCCGUAGGGUCACACGCGUGCCCUGUUGCUGAAUGUACGUUGCGUAUCCCAAGGCACUGAAGAGGUGGAAAAAUAAUCGUGUCAAUCUGGAUGAUAGAGAGAAAUUAACUUUUCCAAAUGAAUGUCUUGCCUUAAACCCUCUAUUUCCUAAAAUAUUGUUCCUAAAUGGUAUUUUCAAGUGUAAUAUUGUGAGAACGCUACUGCAGUAGUUGAUGUUGUGUGCUGUAAAGGAUUUUAGGAGGAAUUUGAAACAGGAUAUUUAAGAGUGUGGAUAUUUUUAAAAUGCAAUAAACAUCUCAGUAUUUGAAGGGUUUUCUUAAAGUAUGUCAAAUGACUACAAUCCAUAGUGAAACUGUAAACAGUAAUGGACGCCAAAUUAUAGGUAGCUGAUUUUGCUGGAGAGUUUAAUUACCUUGUGCAGUCAAAGAGCGCUUCCAGAAGGAAUCUCUUAAGACAUAAUGAGAGGUUUGGUAAUGUGAUAUUUUAAGCUUAUUCUUUUUCUUAAAAGAGAGAGGUGACGAAGGAAGGCAGGAAUGAAGAAGCACUGCGUGGCCUCUGGUGGAAUGCACGGGGCACAGCCGUGACUCUGCAGGCCGCUUCCCCCCCCAUGCCAGGGCUCUGCGCCGUCAUGUGAGACUUAAAAAAAAAGUUGAGUGACUUUGUGAUACUUUGGACUUCUAAAUUAAAUUUAUCAGGCAUAAAUUAUGUAGAAUUAGAGGCUUUGAAAAUAAUACUGGUAGGUUGCUCAAAGGUUUUGAAAGAGAAAUCGCUAGGUAGGUUACUAUCUGGCUAAUCCAUUUCUUAUCCUUGACAAUUUAAUUCAUAUUUGGGAAACUUUUAGGGAAAUGAAAAAUAAAAGUCAUUGAGUCUGGGUGACAUUUUUUAAGAAUAAUAUAAAUUCAGUUUCAAACUCUUCUCACAUUAAAAUUUUGCUGUGAACUCUUACUAAAAUGAGCUUUAGGUUCUGUAAGUGGAAAAAUGUGCUUUUAUUUUAUGGGCCAUUUUUACCACAAUUAAUCUUGCCUUGGAUUACUAAGCGUCUCCUGCGAUCCCACAGAGGACUGUGGUGGCCACAGGAGCUGAAAGCAGAAGAGUGGGAUUUGACGCCAGGCAGUGGAGUGGCCUCAGCCCCAGAUUGUACCUCCUGCCCUGUAGGAGGGGAGGGGGCAAAGCCUUCUGACUUCACCUUUAUUUGACCUAUGUAUGGAACUUACUUUUACUUUUUGCCUUAAAUUUUUAAUGAAAUGCAAAUUUUCUGUGAUGGGGUUCUCUCUCUUUUUUUCGGGGGGUGGAGUCACUAAUAAAUUUGCAAAUGAAGUUAAGGACAAGGCAACCAUCUGGCUUAUGCUAUAUAAUACUUCAUUUAAAGAAGAAAGGAAAAGCAAGUGCACUUGCAACUUUUGAGGUCUCAGCAAAAAUGGGCAUGUGUCUUUUUUGAAGUUUAGAAAUAUCCUAAUCUAUUUUUAUUUAUCUAAAAGUAAGUGUUUUCCAGCUGAUAAGGCUAACCCUACCAUUCCUUCUCAGGAAAGGAUUGAUAACUAAAUAAAUUUCCUCUGUUUUCCCAUGCAUUGAAAUUAUGUUGGCUGGGCAUGGUGGCUCACACCUGUAAUCCUAGCACUUCGGGAGGCCGAGGUGGGCAGAUCACUUGAGGUCAGGAGUUGGAGACCAGCCUGGCCAACGUGGUGAAACCCCGUCUCUACUGAAAACACAAAAAUUAGACGGGCAUGGUGGCGCACACCUGUAAUCCCAGCUACUCGGGAGGCUGAGGCAGGAGAAUCGCUUGAACCUGGGAGGCGGAGGUUGCAGUGGGCUAAAAUUGCGCCACUGCACUCCAGCCUGGGUGACAGAGGAAGACUCUGUCUCACAAAAAAAAAAAAAAAAAAAAGAAAAAAGAAAUUAUGCCAGCUGUUUAAUGUGAGAGAAUAGAAAGAAUGUUCAUGGAAAGUACCUGCCCUGUAAAAUGUUUGAUCAUUUUCAUUAAUGUUGCAGAGAAUCCGACUGCUAUUAAGAGAAAGUGAACAAAUUAAGAAUUUAAAAGACAGGUUCAGGCAUGUCAUAAGUGAAAACAAGAAGGCUUAAUACAAACUUGUUGGGUUUUGUUUGUGUGUGUGUGUGUUGUUUUUUUUUUUUUUUUGGUUCAGCCUAUCUAGCCACCUACAAAUAAUCACAUUUCUGUUACCUGAAUUUAUUUCUCAGCCUGUAAACCUUAGUCACUGUUACCUGUUUCUUGCUCAGUGAAUAUAAUCUUAGCACUGUCAUCUAGAAAGCAAGAUAUUUGAUUGGUUUUCCGGUUCCUUUGAAGAUAGUAAUUCCAUAUCCAGUUUGACUGAUUUUCAUACCCCUGAAUCAACUAGUUAUUUUCAUGAAAUGGUUUUUGGAUAUCUCUCCUCUAGUUUGGAGAAGUAAUAAUCACAAAGAUUAAUAUUUUGCUUCUAGUACUUACAGUAGAAGAAUUUUAAACUGGUACGUCUACUCCUGUUAAAUAGAAAGGGGAUUCGUUGUAUUAUGUGCUUGCUUUUUUUUAAUCAAUAGAAUAAGAUUCAAUGCAUAUUUAUGUUAUAUAUUUUCCACUAUUCAGGUAUCAUGAAAUCACUCCAGAGAUGAUCAAUCAACAUCAUAUUUAUACUUUUGGUUAAUUAUAUGCUACUCAGGGAAAAAAUGAACAAAAAUAAUUACUCAUCCUUCAAUUUCAUUUUCUUGAAACAGUAAGAGUUAGUAUAAUUUGGUAUGCCUCAGCUGUCACCAUUUUAUAAGUGGCUCAUUCUGUUUUUAAAGUAAGUAUUUUUAUUGGAACUCAGGGUAAUUGGGGGAAUUUAUUUAGCUUCUAAAAUAUCCGGCAGGAUAGAGAAGAUUUAUUUGGCUUCAAAAAUGUCUGGUGACCACUUCUCUUAUUAGCCACUACUGCCCAUUUGCUUCAAAAAUAUAUUUAUUGGUCUCCACCAUGUGUGACACACACAGGAUUUCCAAACAUACCACUUUUGAGAAAAAUGUGCAGUAAAAAGGAGGUUUCUAGAAAGUGACAGUAACUCACAUUUAAGCACUAGCUGACCUAGGAGGAGACCUGGAUCUUCAUUCUGGUUCUGCCUUUCAUGAGACUUAAGACUUGGAGGAGCCACCUGUCCUGUAGACCCCAAGUUCCUCAGCCAUAAGCAAACGGGUUAAUCCUAAGAGUUCAGGACCAGUUGGGUGUCGUGAACGGAGCCAUUAGCAAGGUCUGUAGGAUUCAAGGACUUGGGCAGAUUCACAGUCCAAACUAUUGUCAUGGUCAUUGACUUUUACUACUUGAGCUCAAAGCCCUGACAUUUCAAAAGGUUGUCAUGAUAACAGUGAAACCUCUGAAUCCCUUAAAUCAGAAGGCAUGGCAACAUACUUUUUCUACUGGCAAUAGCUCUUACAAUGAGUGUUUCAUAAUGAAAUAGUCUCUGCUGAAGAAAACAUGUUUUCCUUUUGCUCUCUCUGUUGGUUUCUGUGCUGUGUGGAAUUGGAGAAGAUAUAUGCUCUGAAAUAUUUUAUACAGAUUACUGACUACUGGACAGGGUUUACCACUAUAUAACAUCUCAAAGUUAUUCAAGGAUAUUUAAAGCAUAUUUAGUUUAGUUACACCUUAUUUUAAACCGCAGAAAACAAUAGCUUUAAAAUUUUUGCCAUUAAAAUAAUUAUAAAUUUAUACUUUUACUCAAGGACUAGAUCACAGUUUUAGGACAAAAAUCUCUCCUAUUUAAAGUUCAUACCUUGUAAGUAUUUAGUUUGUAUAUUCAUGAACAAAUCUGGACAUUUAUACUUUUUUUGUUUCCUUAUCAACUGUUCACAAUUAUUAGUUAAUUGGUCUUAACAGUUCUACAUUAUAAUUGAAAGAAAAAUUACUUGAGAAAAUAAUUGUUUCAGAAUAGUGCCUACUAUUUCUGUGUCAGCUAAAAAUUUGUCCAGAGUUUUAGAUAUAAGCUAGUAUUUUGUGGAGUUUUAUCCAGGCAUUAAUAGUUCUUCCUGGCUGAAAUUUAAUAUAGGUGCAGAAUCCUAAAUAACACUGUGAGAUGUAAUCUUAACUGCCCUCAGUACCUUAUAAAACAGCUGCAUUUAACCCAGUGUGCAUGUAAUGAGUGGCUGGUCGUUGAUACACUCAUCUUAGAUGCUGAAAUUUCUGUUUUCUCCAGCCCUUGUAAAAGUGGGUUUCUUGAUGAAUGCGUGCUCCCAAUGCUGAAGCAAAAGAUUUGCGUUUAAGAAGAGAAAUACACCCUGAAAUUUGAGUUUGAAAGAUUAGAACAUAGAGGGUCUCUACAGUGUUUUUCUGCAACACCAAGUAGUCAAAUCUAUUUAUAGAAACUCUGAUUACAACAGAAAUUUUAAAAUGAAAUUUUCCACAUCGGUAUUUUGUAGGAAAGCUCUUAUAAUCAAUGCUUAAGCUGCUUUUUGAGGCUUUUCUUGUACAGAGGUUGCAGCCAAUUACAUUUUAAUUGGUAGGCUGCUGAAUAAUGUUUUUGUAUGUUUUAAAAUAAUAUUUAUUUUAAUAGGUUUUUUAACAUUAUGCAAACCCCAAUAAAGAACUGACACGUUCCAUAGGCCAUUGACUGGGCAAUUUUGUGAAACACAGCCUAAAUACACAGUUUUUACACCAACUAAUUUGUCUUGCCUUUAAAACUGAUUAUAACUCUUCUUUAAGUACAACUUUUAUAAAGAAAAAAUACAACACUAAGACUGUAUGUUCUGUAAAUUAUAGUGUGAUGACCCAUGCAGAACCGCUGUCUGAAGCUUACUCAGCGAUUCAUAGCCAUCUCCAGCCAUGUUUUAUCAAAUCACACACUAGAAAUAAAUGGAAAUGCUACAGUGAAAAACCAAAAGUUACAGAGCAACAUAAGUAAAAUGACUUAAGCAGUUUCUUAGUAACAUGUUUGAAAUGGGAAAGGUGACUGACUGCCUUUCACUAGAGUCUUAGCUGUUUCACGUUCACUAUUUUAGGUUAAUUUUCUUGGGAAAUCAAUUUGAAUAUUCCUCCCUGUCCUUUUGCAUUAAAGGACAAAAAUAUAUGUUGAGAGUUUGACAGACUUUUUAAAUAUGCCUCUUUCCCAAUUUUAUGUAUUUUUGGUUCUGCGCACACAGAUUUAUCAAUGAAGUACAUUUGCCUCUGACUUUAUCACAAGGAAAAAGGAAUCAAACAUUGAACACAAAUGUGUUCCAAACCAGUCUUGUCCAUCUUGUCACUUUUGUGUGACUGCUCCUCUGAACCAGAAGGGGCACGGUAGAAGGCAAUAGGAAUGAAAGUAAAAUCAUUCAGGUGAAGUGAGAAAUUCUUCCACAUACAGAGUGAAAAUGUGUGAUUUCAUUCCUGCCUGCCUUUAAACGUUGUCUUGAUCUCUGCCUAGUAGUAGUUGAGCCCUCAGUCGCCCAAACAUGAGGAGAGACCCAACUCCAGCAGCCAGAAUUUAGUAUUUACAUUUGCCUUCCCAAGUUGAGAAUAGAAUGUGGUGUUCUGUGCUUUCUGUUUUUAUUAUUCCAAAAUAUUUUUUUAAAGAAGUGUUAUUUUUCAACAGAUUCAUAAAUUAGUUCCUGAUGUACGGUAAAUUAAAACUCCCACUGUGUCAGUCAAACUGAGAUGUGCUCAUUUCAUAACCACUCAUUUCUAGUCUGUCAGAGCUGCACUGGUGGCUUAUUGCUGGUUUUUAAAGGUGUUUUUAACUUACAUGUAACAUGUUUAGGACAUGUUUUUUUUUUCUAAUUUGUGUGUCUUUACAACUGAUUAAACAGUAGUUUAAAAAUA
RNA transcript from Pan troglodytes (chimpanzee), 7725 nucleotides. It is a transcript of the gene named membrane bound O-acyltransferase domain containing 2, with no coding region annotated. The record is from RefSeq and is a predicted model, not a curated record. NCBI's taxonomy places the organism in Eukaryota, Metazoa, Chordata, Mammalia, Primates, Hominidae. The transcript has 14 exons.